UUACCGGGUCCGGACACACUGAGGAUUGACAGGUAUUAUAUAGCACGCACUUCGGUGUGUGUCUAUUGUUAAAUAUGCUAGUCCUUUCAUGAUUAUGUGAUAGGUGGUGCAUGGCCGUUCUUAGUUCGUGGAGUGAUCUGUCUGCUUAAUUGCGUUUCAGAUAAGGAUCUAUAUUCUUUAUACGAGUGUUGCAGACCCCUUCCUCACGGGAGCGCGUGUCUCGCAUAAUCUCUAUACAUUAGGUCCUGAAAGCAACGAACGUGACCGCAACCUCUUGUUGCCUCAUCUCUCCAUACCAACUAGGUAGUGCAGCUUGCUGUUUCUGCUUAACGUAUCCAUUGAGGCUUUACCCAAACUAGAGGGACCGCUGUCAACUUCUUAAACCAGAGGAAGGUUGCGGCAAUAACAGGUCUGUGAUGCCCUUAGAUGUUCCGGGCUGCACACGUGCUACAAUGAUUGUUGCAGUGAGCAUCUCAAUUCUUUACCUUAACACCGCACACGUGAGUAUUAACGUACUUUACGCAGCGGUAAAGCCUGCUUCGAGAGCAAGUGGGUAAUCAAUUAGAAGUAACGAUUUCCCAAGUUAGCACACCUAUAUACGGCGUUUGUGCCCGGGUUUCACUUGUUGGAGCUUUUGUGCGCGCAGAUGUUUCUUCCGUAUGUGCAAUUGUCAAUUCAUGGUGGGGACAGACCAUUGUUAAUUGUUGGUCUCGGUCUUAACUAGGAAUGCCUUGUACGGGUCUUUGGUUCAACAAACCACCCGGAAUACGUCCCUGCCCUUUGUACACACCGCCCGUCGCUCUUACCGAUGGACUUCUCUGUGAGUUUGAGGGACUGGGUCCUCGGAUCUAUGGAAACUUAAACGAACAGUGUGGUCUAAAGGAAAGAGAAGUCGUAACAAGGCAUCGG
This 909-nucleotide ribosomal RNA is filed under the name Globigerinita glutinata. RNAcentral's name for it is "SSU rRNA". It matches the Rfam family "Eukaryotic small subunit ribosomal RNA", at positions 1215 to 1805 of the family's 1831-position model. Lineage: Eukaryota; Foraminifera; Rotaliida; Globigerinitidae. The record is from RNAcentral.